RNAcentral lists this ribosomal RNA (488 nucleotides) under uncultured bacterium. RNAcentral describes it as "bacterial SSU rRNA". It matches the Rfam family "Bacterial small subunit ribosomal RNA", at positions 28 to 513 of the family's 1533-position model. The record is from RNAcentral.
GAUGAACGCUAGCGGCAGGCUUAAUACAUGCAAGUCGUGGGGCAGCAUGAGUAGCAAUACUUGAUGGCGACCGGCAAACGGGUGAGGAACACGUACACAACCUUCCUUCAAGCGGGGAAUAGCCCAGAGAAAUUUGGAUUAAUACCCCAUAAUAUAUUUGGUAAGGCAUCUUAUUAAUAUUAAAGCUUCGGCACUUGAUGAUGGGUGUGCGGCUGAUUAGAUAGUUGGCGGGUAACGGCCCACCAAGUCUACGAUCAGUAGCUGAUGUGAGAGCAUGAUCAGCCACACGGGCACUGAGACACGGGCCCGACUCCUACGGGAGGCAGCAGUAAGGAAUAUUGGACAAUGGACGAAAGUCUGAUCCAGCCAUGCCGCGUGAAGGAUUAAGGUCCUCUGGAUUGUAAACUUCUUUAUAUGGGACGAAAAAGGGCAUUCUUGUUCACUUGACGGUACCAUAUGAAUAAGCACCGGCUAACUCCGUGCCAGCA